This 470-nucleotide ribosomal RNA is filed under the name uncultured bacterium. RNAcentral's name for it is "bacterial SSU rRNA". It matches the Rfam family "Bacterial small subunit ribosomal RNA", at positions 43 to 509 of the family's 1533-position model. The record is from RNAcentral.
CAGGCCUAACACAUGCAAGUCGAACGGCAGCACGGGAGCAAUCCUGGUGGCGAGUGGCGAACGGGUGAGUAAUAUAUCGGAACGUGCCCAGUCGUGGGGGAUAACGUAGCGAAAGUUACGCUAAUACCGCAUACGAUCUAUGGAUGAAAGCGGGGGAUCGCAAGACCUCGCGCGAUUGGAGCGGCCGAUAUCAGAUUAGCUUGUUGGUGAGGUAAAAGCUCACCAAGGCGACGAUCUGUAGCUGGUCUGAGAGGACGACCAGCCACACUGGGACUGAGACACGGCCCAGACUCCUACGGGAGGCAGCAGUGGGGAAUUUUGGACAAUGGGCGAAAGCCUGAUCCAGCCAUGCCGCGUGUGUAAGAAGGUCUUCGGAUUGUAAAGCACUUUAAGUUGGGAGGAAGGGCAUUUACCUAAUACGUAAGUCUUUUGACGUUACCGACAGAAUGAGCACCGGCUAACUCUGUGCC